UACGAAGGGGGCUAGCGUUGUUCGGAAUCACUGGGCGUAAAGCGCAUGCAGGCGGAUCAUUAAGUCGGGGGUGAAAUCCCGAGGCUCAACCUCGGAACUGCCUUCGAUACUGAUGAUCUUGAGUCCGGGAGAGGUGAGUGGAACUCCGAGUGUAGAGGUGAAAUUCGUAGAUAUUCGGAAGAACACCAGUGGCGAAGGCGGCUCACUGGCCCGGUACUGACGCUGAGAUGCGAAAGCGUGGGGAGCAAACAGG
This 253-nucleotide ribosomal RNA is filed under the name uncultured Bauldia sp. RNAcentral's name for it is "partial 16S ribosomal RNA". It matches the Rfam family "Bacterial small subunit ribosomal RNA", at positions 524 to 776 of the family's 1533-position model. Lineage: Bacteria; Pseudomonadati; Pseudomonadota; Alphaproteobacteria; Hyphomicrobiales; Kaistiaceae. The record is from RNAcentral.